Molecule: long non-coding RNA, 525 nt
Organism: Astyanax mexicanus (Mexican tetra)
Lineage: Eukaryota; Metazoa; Chordata; Actinopteri; Characiformes; Acestrorhamphidae
Exons: 7
Source: RefSeq, a predicted model, not a curated record
CGGCACACUAUAUUACUGGCAAGCACAGGCGAGUACAGACGUGCACAAGCAUGUACAGACUAGUACAGGUGAACACAGACGUGUACAGGCGAGCACAGGUCAGUACAGGCGAGCCCUGCGAGUACAGGUGUGCACAGGUCAGUACAGGCUAGCACAGGUCAGUACAGGCUAGCACAGGCGUGCACAGGCGAGCACAGGUCAGUACAGGCGAGUACAGGUGUGCACAGGCGAGCACAGGUCAGUACAGGCGAGUACAGGUCAGUACAGGCGAGUACAGGCGAGCACAGGUCAGUACAGGAGAGUACAGGUCAGUACAGGCGAGCACAGGUCAGUACAGGCGAGUACAGGUCAGUACAGGCGAGCACAGGUGUGCACAGGCGAGUACAGGCGAGCACAGGUCAGUACAGGCGAGCACAGGUCAGUACAGGCGAGCACAGGUCAGUACAGGCGAGCACAGGUCAGUACAGGCGAGCACAGGUCAGUACAGGCGAGUACAGGCGAGCACAGGUCAGUACAGGCGAGCAC